GAAGAUUAUGAAGCUUUCCCCAGUCUACACGAUUGAAUUUUGCUCCAAGAGAAGCUCUGUGUCUUGCAUAUUCGAUCACCAGUUGCCUAUCUACAUCAUCUGUCCACCAGAACCUUCCCUUGCGUGUAGGCUUCGCUCUUGACAAGGCAAUUUUAUCAAGAAAAGCACGUCCUACCCCAUCAUCUUCAGGUAAUUCUGACUCUUCAGCAGCUACCACGUCAUCUCGAAGGUGAUAUCCCUCCAAGCUGCAUGUCUG
This 256-nucleotide unclassified non-coding RNA is filed under the name Hevea brasiliensis (rubber tree). Lineage: Eukaryota; Viridiplantae; Streptophyta; Magnoliopsida; Malpighiales; Euphorbiaceae. The record is from RNAcentral.